UUGCUAAUACAAUUGCAUUUAAUCACAAAGGACUAAGCAAGAGCAGAGGCUGCCCUUCCCUUGAGGACUACAUCUGCAGUGUUGGGGUUGCUUACUUGCUGGAAUAACCUUUAGAGCUUCUAAAAAGCAAUUGAUAUUGGGACAUUGAUCGAACGCCACUGGAAAGGUUGAUGGACAUAAUUUUGGUGCUUGCCCUAAAAUUACAAGAACAUAUAAAUAUACUAAAAUAUCAGCAACAACAAUAUACCCAGUAAGUUUCCACAAGUGGUGUCUGGGGAGAGUAAAGUGUACGCAUACCUUACCACUACCUCAUAGAAGUAGAGAGAUUGUUUCCACAAGACCCUCAACCCAAAUUAACUAGUAUACCAUGAAGGAAAAAAUUCAUUAAGUAAAGAAAUUCAUACCAAGAGAAGGAGUUGAUAUGCUCAAUAGAAGAGCAAAACAAAGUAGCGAUAAACCAACAAAAUUCUUCAUUAUUUCUUGAGAAUUAAUUCACACUUCUAUAUAGUGGUUGAAAU
RNAcentral lists this long non-coding RNA (518 nucleotides) under Capsicum annuum. RNAcentral describes it as "long non-coding RNA (CANN_LNC002042)". The record is from RNAcentral. Lineage: Eukaryota; Viridiplantae; Streptophyta; Magnoliopsida; Solanales; Solanaceae.